AACUCUUAAGAAAUUAGGAGGUGCCUCUUGAGGAGCUCGGUGACAGGUGCUGCAUGGCUGUCGUCAGCUCGUGUCGUGAGAUGUUGGGUUAAGUCCCGCAACGAGCGCAACCCUUGUCUUUAGUUGCCAUCAUUUAGUUGGGCACUCUAAAGAGACUCCCGGUGUCAAACCGGAGGAAGGUGGGGAUGACGUCAAGUCCUCAUGGCCUUUAUGACCAGGGCUACACACGUACUACAAUGGCAUAGACAAAGGGCAGCGACAUCGCGAGGUGAAGCGAAUCCCAUAAACUAUGUCUCAGUCCGGAUUGGAGUCUGCAACUCGACUCCAUGAAGUUGGAAUCGCUAGUAAUCGUAGAUCAGCAUGCUACGGUGAAUACGUUCCCGGGCCUUGUACACACCGCCCGUCACACCACGGGAGUUGGUUGUACCAGAAGCAGUUGAGCGAACUAUUCGUAGACGCAGGCUGCCAAGGUAUGAUUGGUAACUGGGGUGAAGUCGUAACAAGGUA
RNAcentral lists this ribosomal RNA (507 nucleotides) under uncultured bacterium. RNAcentral's name for it is "bacterial SSU rRNA". It matches the Rfam family "Bacterial small subunit ribosomal RNA", at positions 994 to 1498 of the family's 1533-position model. The record is from RNAcentral.